This 916-nucleotide ribosomal RNA is filed under the name uncultured bacterium. RNAcentral describes it as "bacterial SSU rRNA". It matches the Rfam family "Bacterial small subunit ribosomal RNA", at positions 246 to 1155 of the family's 1533-position model. The record is from RNAcentral.
UUGUUGGUAAGGUAAAAGCUUACCAAGGCUUCGAUCAGUAGCUGGUCUGAGAGGACGACCAGCCACACUGGGACUGAGACACGGCCCAGACUCCUACGGGAGGCGGCAGUGGGGAAUUUUGGACAAUGGGGGCAACCCUGAUCCAGCCAUGCCGCGUGAGUGAAGAAGGCCUUCGGGUUGUAAAGCUCUUUCAGCCGGAACGAAACGGUUACGGAUAACACCCGUGACUACUGACGGUACCGGAAGAAGAAGCACCGGCUAACUACGUGCCAGCAGCCGCGGUAAUACGUAGGGUGCGAGCGUUAAUCGGAAUUACUGGGCGUAAAGCGUGCGCAGGUGGUUUUGUAAGUCAGAUGUGAAAGCCCCGGGCUCAACCUGGGAACUGCGUUUGAAACUACAAGACUAGAGUGUGGCAGAGGGGGGUGGAAUUCCGCGUGUAGCAGUGAAAUGCGUAGAGAUGUGGAGGAACACCGAUGGCGAAGGCAGCCCCCUGGGUCAACACUGACGCUCAGGCACGAAAGCAUGGGGAGCAAACAGGAUUAGAUACCCUGGUAGUCCAUGCCCUAAACGAUGUCAACUAGUUGUCGGGCCUUUACGGGCUUGGUAACGUAGCUAACGCGUGAAGUUGACCGCCUGGGGAGUACGAUCGCAAGAUUAAAACUCAAAUGAAUUGACGGGGACCCGCACAAGCGGUGGAUUAUGUGGAUUAAUUCGAUGCAACGCGAAAAACCUUACCUACCCUUGACAUGUAUCGAAGCCCGCAGAAAAGCGGGGGUGCCCGAAAGGGAACGAUAACACAGGUGCUGCAUGGCUGUCGUCAGCUCGUGUCGUGAGAUGUUGGGUUAAGUCCCGCAACGAGCGCAACCCUUGUCAUUAAUUGCCAUCAUUUAGUUGGGCACUUUAAUGAGACUGCCGG